RNAcentral lists this ribosomal RNA (344 nucleotides) under uncultured Polaromonas sp. RNAcentral's name for it is "bacterial SSU rRNA". It matches the Rfam family "Bacterial small subunit ribosomal RNA", at positions 1036 to 1382 of the family's 1533-position model. The record is from RNAcentral. Lineage: Bacteria; Pseudomonadati; Pseudomonadota; Betaproteobacteria; Burkholderiales; Comamonadaceae.
AGGUGCUGCAUGGCUGUCGUCAGCUCGUGUCGUGAGAUGUUGGGUUAAGUCCCGCAACGAGCGCAACCCUUGUCAUUAGUUGCUACAUUUAGUUGGGCACUCUAAUGAGACUGCCGGUGACAAACCGGAGGAAGGUGGGGAUGACGUCAAGUCCUCAUGGCCCUUAUAGGUAGGGCUACACACGUCAUACAAUGGAUGAUACAAAGGGUCGCCAACCCGCGAGGGGGAGCCAAUCCCAUAAAGCCAUUCGUAGUCCGGAUCGCAGUCUGCAACUCGACUGCGUGAAGUCGGAAUCGCUAGUAAUCGUGGAUCAGAAUGUCACGGUGAAUACGUUCCCGGGUCUU